This 159-nucleotide small nuclear RNA is filed under the name Zalophus californianus (California sea lion). RNAcentral describes it as "U2 spliceosomal RNA (ENSZCAG00015002680.1)". It matches the Rfam family "U2 spliceosomal RNA". Rfam says of the family: U2 is a small nuclear RNA (snRNA) component of the spliceosome (involved in pre-mRNA splicing). Complementary binding between U2 snRNA (in an area lying towards the 5' end but 3' to hairpin I) and the branchpoint sequence (BPS) of the intron results the bulging out of an unpaired adenosine, on the BPS, which initiates a nucleophilic attack at the intronic 5' splice site, thus starting the first of two transesterification reactions that mediate splicing. The record is from RNAcentral. Lineage: Eukaryota; Metazoa; Chordata; Mammalia; Carnivora; Otariidae.
AUCGCUUCUCGGCCUUUUGGCUAAGAUCAAGUGUAGAAAUCUAGAAAUUCACUAAAUGCUUAGAAUAAUCCAAGGAGCAUUUAUCAAGAAAAAAAGGUGAAUCUUGGUAAGAACAGUAGUAAGUUUUGAGGCACUUUCACUUACCCUACUCCCAGUCUC